AGCGAACGCUGGCGGCGUGCCUAACACAUGCAAGUCGAACGUGAAAGGGAGCACUCCCCAGUAACGUGGCGUACGGGUGAGUAACACGUAGGUAAUCUACCCCAGAAUCUGGAAUAACCGGCCGAAAGGCUGGCUAAUACUUGAUAGAGCGACGGAAUCCGUAAUUGGGUUUUUCGGGAAAGGGAGCCUGUAAAAAGGCCUUCGUUCUGGGAUGAGCCUGCGUCCCAUCAGCUAGUUGGUGAGGUAAAAGCUAACCAAGGCAAUGACGGGUAGCUGGUCUGAGAAGACGAUCAGCCACACUGGGACUGAAACACGGUCCAGACUCCCACGGGAGGCAGCAGGGGGGAAUCUUGCGCAAUGGACGAAAGUCUGACGCAGCAACGCCGCGGGAGUGAAGAAGGCCGUCGGGUUGUAAAGCUCUGUCGAGUGGGACGAAAAUGCUUGGAGUUCACAGCUCCAGGAACUGACGGUACCACUAAAGGAAGCACCGGCUAACUCCGUG
This 502-nucleotide ribosomal RNA is filed under the name uncultured bacterium. RNAcentral describes it as "partial 16S ribosomal RNA". It matches the Rfam family "Bacterial small subunit ribosomal RNA", at positions 29 to 507 of the family's 1533-position model. The record is from RNAcentral.